UCGUUAAUCAUCACUGUAAUCAGCAGCACGUCUUUAUGUAUGAUCAGCAGUUGCCGUAUAACAAAAACUUUGCUGCGUUGCAUUUUACUGCUUGCAGAACACGUGUUGGACUCGAUUUUGCUAGUGAUCUUGUGAUUGUUUCAUAGUUUGUUGUUCAUACUAAAAGUUGUGCUAAAAAAUAUAGAUAACUAGGGGAAAAGAUACCACUGCCUUAUUUAUCUAUUGCUUCAGAUCAUGCCUUGACUUUAUUAUAAAAAGUGUGCAUUUUUGUAGUGCGAAAAUCGUAACGGGAAUCCGGAUGUGAGGUUCCACAUGUUUCCUCAUGGUGCGAUUAUGUUUCAACACUGGAUGGACGUUGUGAAUAAUCUAGCAUUGUCUAAAUUAGCUCAUACUACUGUUAUUCGGUAUGCAAUAACCAUAUUAUAGUAUCUCAAUUACAAACUCCCGAAAGGAAGACUCUGCUGACAAAAGCUAUUCCCAAAAGUUUUAUAGCUCCUAACAUUUGCAUGCCAUCGGCUAGUUAUUCGGAGACACAUCCGCACACAGGUAAAGAAACUUCCCUGAUGAUUCUACUUCUGUCGAACAGGAACAAGAAUCAACUUUUUCGAUGCCUACGCAUAAUGUAGAUAGUGAAAUCGGUUUACCGCUGCAUGUGAGAAGCGAAUUGCUUCAUUCGAUUGGAGUAACCAGCAGGAACAAAAUGACCCCAAGGAAACAACUUCUAUUUCACAAGCUAUGCAGCAUGAGGAGGACAUUGAAACGUUAUGAGCAUAAUUGGAAGAGUUGCAGGAAAGACGUAUUCGGGGUAAAGAAUGUAAGUAAUCUUUUAAACAAUAAAACUUAGAAUUGUUUAGAAUAUGAUAGAAGAUAUUUUUCCUAUUGCAGCUACGUCAAAAAGGUUUAAUGGAAUUCUUAAACAUUUCAAUAAUUUGUUGCCCUUUGCAUGACGAAUAUAUGUAAUAAUUCCGGCAGUUUCGGAAUGUAUUAUUUAUAAUAUGUGAAAAUAUAUUUUGCUUCUAAUAAAUCGAAAAUUAAGCCGCAGAAAGAUAGCCGCGACAAUGCUAUAGUGG
Dendroctonus ponderosae (mountain pine beetle) is the source of this 1070-nucleotide long non-coding RNA. RefSeq lists it as uncharacterized. The transcript is spliced from 3 exons. The record is from RefSeq and is a predicted model, not a curated record. Lineage: Eukaryota; Metazoa; Arthropoda; Insecta; Coleoptera; Curculionidae.